Molecule: non-coding RNA, 74 nt
Organism: Nasonia vitripennis (jewel wasp)
Lineage: Eukaryota; Metazoa; Arthropoda; Insecta; Hymenoptera; Pteromalidae
Source: Rfam
GUAGACGUUAGCUCAGUGGUUAGAGCACAGGCUUCUGGCUCUCGGGUCCGCGAGUUCGAGUCCCGUCGUCUGCU